UCCGCCCUUUAGUGCUGCAGUAACGCAUUAAGCACUCCGCCUGGGGAGUACGGUCGCAAGAUUGAAACUCAAAGGAAUUGACGGGGGCCCGCACAAGCGUGGAGCAUGUGGUUUAAUUCGAAGCAACGGGAAGAACCUUACCAGGUCUUGACAUCCUCUGACAACUCUAGAGAUAGAGCGUUCCCCUUCGGGGGACAGAGUGACAGGUGGUGCAUGGUUGUCGUCAGCUCGUGUCGUGAGAUGUUGGGUUAAGUCCCGCAACGAGCGCAACCCUUGAUCUUAGUUGCCAGCAUUUAGUUGGGCACUCUAAGGUGACUGCCGGUGACAAACCGGAGGAAGGUGGGGAUGACGUCAAAUCAUCAUGCCCCUUAUGACCUGGGCUACACACGUGCUACAAUGGAUGGUACAAAGGGCUGCAAGACCGCGAGUCCAAGCCAAUCCCAUAAAACCAUUCUCAGUUCGGAUUGUAGGCUGCAACUCGCCUACAUGAAGCUGGAAUCGCUAGUAAUCGCGGAUCAGCAUGCCGCGGUGAAUACGUUCCCGGGCCUUGUACACACCGCCCGUCACACCACGAGAGUUUGUAACACCCGAAGUCGGUGGAGUAACCGUAAGGAGCUAGCCGCCUAAGGUGGACAGAUGAUUGGGUGAAGUCGU
Molecule: ribosomal RNA, 654 nt
Filed under: Bacillus sp. DJM2D1
Lineage: Bacteria; Bacillati; Bacillota; Bacilli; Caryophanales; Bacillaceae
Also listed under: 1 other name
Description: bacterial SSU rRNA
Rfam family: Bacterial small subunit ribosomal RNA
Source: RNAcentral